CCUACGGGUGGCAGCAGUGAGGAAUAUUGGUCAAUGGCCGGAAGGCUGAACCAGCCAUGCCGCGUGAAGGUCAGUGCCCUAUGGGCGGUAAACUUCUUUUGUGCGGGAGCAAUAAUGGUCACGUGUGGCCAGACGAGAGUACCGUACGAAUAAGCAUCGGCUAACUCCGUGCCAGCAGCCGCGGUAUUACGGGGGAUGCAAGCGUUAUCCGGAGUUAUUGGGGUUAAAGGGGGCGUAGGAUGUGAGGUAAGUCAGCGGUGAAAUGCCCCCGCUCAACGGGGUGAAGUGCCAUUGAUACUGGCGAACUGGAGUGUGGGAGAGGAUAGUGGAAUUCCAGGUGUAGGAGUGAAAUCCGUAGAUAUCAGGAGGAACAUCAGUGGCGAAGGCGACUAUCUGGCACAUAACUGACGCUGAGGAGCGAAAGCGUGGGUAGCAAACAGGAUUAGAUACCCGAGUAGUC
This 460-nucleotide ribosomal RNA is filed under the name uncultured bacterium. Its description in RNAcentral is "partial 16S ribosomal RNA". It matches the Rfam family "Bacterial small subunit ribosomal RNA", at positions 338 to 795 of the family's 1533-position model. The record is from RNAcentral.